RNAcentral lists this ribosomal RNA (323 nucleotides) under Vibrio sp. MED222. RNAcentral describes it as "bacterial SSU rRNA". It matches the Rfam family "Bacterial small subunit ribosomal RNA", at positions 1213 to 1533 of the family's 1533-position model. Lineage: Bacteria; Pseudomonadati; Pseudomonadota; Gammaproteobacteria; Vibrionales; Vibrionaceae. The record is from RNAcentral.
GCUACACACGUGCUACAAUGGCGCAUACAGAGGGCAGCAAGCUAGCGAUAGUGAGCGAAUCCCAAAAAGUGCGUCGUAGUCCGGAUUGGAGUCUGCAACUCGACUCCAUGAAGUCGGAAUCGCUAGUAAUCGUGAAUCAGAAUGUCACGGUGAAUACGUUCCCGGGCCUUGUACACACCGCCCGUCACACCAUGGGAGUGGGCUGCAAAAGAAGUGGGUAGUUUAACCUUUCGGGGAGGACGCUCACCACUUUGUGGUUCAUGACUGGGGUGAAGUCGUAACAAGGUAGCCCUAGGGGAACCUGGGGCUGGAUCACCUCCUUA